AUUCUAGUAAAAGGACUCCAGCAUCAACGUUCCUCCUGCAGGUCUGGGUUCUCAGAGAAAGAAAACGUGAUGCAGCAGAGGAUGGGAUUGAAGAAACAGGAGAGUGAAGUGGAAAUAGCCUGGCCCGCGUGACUUAAACCGGCCCGGAGAUGUGCGGGUAUGAACGCUGCUGUCCGUGCCGUGGUGCGCAUGGGUAUCUACGUGGGGGCCAAGGUGUACUUCAUCUACGAGGGCUACCAGGGCAUGGUGGACGGAGGCUCAAACAUCGCAGAGGCCGACUGGGAGAGUGUCUCCAGCAUCCUGCAAGUGGGCGGGACGAUCAUUGGCAGUGCGCGGUGCCAGGCCUUCCGCACGCGGGAAGGCCGCCUGAAGGCUGCUUGCAACCUGCUGCAGCGUGGCAUCACCAACCUGUGUGUGAUCGGCGGGGACGGGAGCCUCACCGGGGCCAACAUCUUCCGGAAGGAGUGGAGUGGGCUGCUGGAGGAGCUGGCCAGGAACGGCCAGAUCGAUAAGGAGGCCGUGCAGAAGUAUGCCUACCUCAACGUGGUGGGCAUGGUGGGCUCCAUCGACAAUGACUUCUGUGGCACCGACAUGACCAUCGGCACGGACUCCGCCCUGCACAGGAUCAUCGAGGUCGUCGACGCCAUCAUGACCACGG
RNAcentral lists this small RNA (658 nucleotides) under Pan troglodytes (chimpanzee). RNAcentral's name for it is "processed transcript". Lineage: Eukaryota; Metazoa; Chordata; Mammalia; Primates; Hominidae. The record is from RNAcentral.